Molecule: long non-coding RNA, 338 nt
Organism: Cryptomeria japonica (Japanese cedar)
Lineage: Eukaryota; Viridiplantae; Streptophyta; Pinopsida; Cupressales; Cupressaceae
Exons: 3
Source: RefSeq, a predicted model, not a curated record
UCUUACAAAAUUUGUAGGAUACAAAGAGCUCUUCCAUGACCUUGAGGUGAUGUUCAAUUUUGAAGGACAACUGGAGGAUCCAAACAAAGGCUGGCAAGUUGUCUACACAGAUGAUGAGGGAGAUAUGAUGCUUGUAGGAGAUGAUCCGUGGCAGUGAGAAAAGGAGGCAUUUGCUGACAGCUGGGUGGAGAGUCUUUGUUAACUCCGAAAGGCUUGUAGCAGGAGAUGCAUUCAUCUUUAUGAGGGAUAAAAAUGGCGAACUACAUGUAGGGGUCGGCGUGCCAUGCAUCAGCAAAGUAACAUUCCUGUCCGUAGUUAUAUCCAGUCGCAGAAUGGAG